Molecule: long non-coding RNA, 415 nt
Organism: Cyclopterus lumpus (lumpfish)
Lineage: Eukaryota; Metazoa; Chordata; Actinopteri; Perciformes; Cyclopteridae
Exons: 3
Source: RefSeq, a predicted model, not a curated record
GGCUAGACCUUCCACUGGCUCUUGGAAAACGACGUGAGCUACUGCGUCAAUCUGGCCUCCUCCCACCAGAAGGAGCGAGAGAGGACCUCAGUCCCCGCUGAUGGCCAACAAGGACGCCUUCUCCCGCUACUCCUCAGCAUACUCUGACUUUGUUGAGGCAGUCAGGUUCCACCAGGCGUUUGAGGAGGUGCGGGUGAGGUUCCUUCAGCCCGGUCAGUAGGGACAGGCACUUGUUGGCUUCGGGGACUUAAAAUUCGAGACCCUCGAGUGCCUGUACAAGUCUGAGGACUCCAAAAAGAUCCGAUUUGUCAACUACCUCCGGAGGACGACAACAGCACCUGGUACGCAGAUGGAGAACGCUGUCCGGUACAUCAGAGGCAGAGACAGACAGAGGACCAGGACAGCCUUUUGUUUU